Panicum virgatum (switchgrass) is the source of this 438-nucleotide long non-coding RNA. RefSeq lists it as uncharacterized. The record is from RefSeq and is a predicted model, not a curated record. The transcript has 2 exons. NCBI's taxonomy places the organism in Eukaryota, Viridiplantae, Streptophyta, Magnoliopsida, Poales, Poaceae.
AGAUCAUUCCUCCAGCCAGCUAGACCAUUUAGUUCGUUUCUUCCAUGUAGUAAAACUACUGGGCAACAAGAUAUGAAUUGUUGCAUCAGGUGAGACAGCUUAUCCUGGUAGCAACUGUCCUACAUUGAGCAGGGGGAAAGGAAGUACUGGUUGCAGGUAUUAACCAUUGCCAGUUGCUUACUUCUGUAAUAUUCGGAAAUAUUUUCGUUGGAGUAUUCCUGACUCCUGUAAAAGUAAGGUCAUCUCAUAUAUGCUGGUUACAUAGCUGAAUAUUCGUAACUAUUUUCAUUAGAACAUUUGGAGCAAAUGAAUUUUGUAAACAAACUACAGCUGUUGUCAUGUGUGAAAUCUUGGGGCACAAUGACACAACUUACAUGCCCAUCUUUUUCCUUGUUCUGUGAUGGAGUUUUUUUACAAUGCCUCAGUGGCCAUCUUACA